ACAUAAAUAACCUCCUGCCGCAGAAGGGCGGAAUGCUGACAUGGCAAACGGCCACCCGGCCGGGAGAGACAGCCGGCAAUCGUUGGAUCUUUUACAUUUAGCCUCUUUCCUCUCUGUAAGGGCGGCAAGGGGUAAAUGCAAAAUGGUCGGAAACUUUUUAUCAUUGAACCACCCAUAUAUGUAUAACAUGUAUUUAUUUGAUCACAAGCACUCUCUUACCUUAGUGGUUAUCAAUAUGCUAAUAUGAGGAUUUGAUCUCUAGUCUCUAUAAUAGAAGAGUGUUCUUGCCUUAGUGGUUAUCAAUAUGCUAAUAUGAGGAUUCGAUCUCUAGUCUCUAGAAUAGAAGAGUGUAGCAGUGACCACUGAGCCAAGAGAGCAUUUGU
This 383-nucleotide long non-coding RNA is filed under the name Oryza brachyantha (malo sina). RNAcentral's name for it is "long non-coding RNA (OBRA_LNC000414)". The record is from RNAcentral. Lineage: Eukaryota; Viridiplantae; Streptophyta; Magnoliopsida; Poales; Poaceae.